This 253-nucleotide ribosomal RNA is filed under the name uncultured bacterium. RNAcentral describes it as "partial 16S ribosomal RNA". It matches the Rfam family "Bacterial small subunit ribosomal RNA", at positions 524 to 776 of the family's 1533-position model. The record is from RNAcentral.
UACGUAGGCAGCGAGCGUUGUUCGGAAUUACUGGGCGUAAAGAGUGUGUAGGCGGUGCUCUAAGUUCGGUGUGAAAUCUCCCGGCUUAACUGGGAGGGUGCGCCGGAAACUGGAGUGCUCGAGCGUGGGAGAGGAAAGCGGAAUUCCUGGUGUAGCGGUGAAAUGCGCAGAUAUCAGGAGGAACACCGGUGGCGAAGGCGGGUCUCUGGGCCGAUACUGACACUGAGGCACGAAAGCUAGGGGAGCAAACAGG